Numida meleagris (helmeted guineafowl) is the source of this 1029-nucleotide long non-coding RNA. RefSeq lists it as uncharacterized. The record is from RefSeq and is a predicted model, not a curated record. Lineage: Eukaryota; Metazoa; Chordata; Aves; Galliformes; Numididae. The transcript is spliced from 6 exons.
GCCGCAGGUGCGACCGUUAAUGACCGUUAAUUAGGGCCGUUAAAGACCGUUAACUGCCGGCGGCGGUCAGUAGCGCGUGGUGCUGGGGGAGUUCGCGGCGUGCUGCGCUCUGCAGAGGCAUGAGGAAGCUCUCCGUAUCAGCACAUCUGGUUGAGGACAGAACUGGGACACGCUCUGGGGACUUGUGGACAGGAGUUGUACACAGCAGCAGGAAAGUGCUGACCCAGACACAAGUGUUCUGAGGCUCCUGAGCUGCCCUAGAACAUUCCCAGCAUCAGGGGCUCACAACCAGCAAAGGAGACAACGCCCUGAGGAAAUGGCAGGAAAUAAUCAGCCUCAGACCUUAAAUCACAGAGGGUGAUGUUGAAAACCAGAUGAAACCGUGCACGAGAUCCAACAGCACACACUGCUAGCUUGGGCUGUGCACUGAGGUAUGCCAUCUUCUCCCAUUCUUGCCCAGUGGAGAUCAUUAAAGUAUGGUAAUACAGCCCUUAGAGAGGAGAACAUUGAAGAACUGAAGCUAAGGAGAGCUGUUUUAUGUACUGCAGGAUUCUCAUCCACUGAUGGCUUCCAGGGACAUAUAUCAGUUUCCAGGAGAAAUCCAUCCACUGCAGCUUCUCAUGACAAGUAAUCACAACUGAGAAAUCCUGGAAGUAAACUGCUCUUCUCCAAAUUCCUAGAACAUUACAGUUGCAACACGCUUCCACCAAAUAAAUUACUGAAAAAAAAAGAUUUUUCUCUGCAGCGUUUUGCAAUUUGUAAUUCCAGAAAGUAAGCUUUAGCUGACAGUGUAAACGUGUUAGACUAACAAAGGGAGUUGCGUCUAUUCUCUUAUUUCAGAUGAAUAAUGUAAGCACAAGAAGACAAGGUCUCGAAGGAAGACCCUGGAAAUACCUCAAACCAAGAAUACUUGAAUCCCAAUCCAGAGUCUUUAAUCACUCACUGUUUUACCUCCAUCUUAUUCUCUAGUAUCAUGUACAGAAAGAAAAGUACAGAAAUUAUUUUCAUUUCUAUUCUGCCGAUUUUCUA